GGGGCCGAUCGGUUUCGACACGUCGAUUUGAGACUGUGAGAAGCGGGUCGAGGACGCGAAGUUAUCUCGUAAACGCCCUUCGCAAACCAUAGGUGCCAACGCUAAGCGCACCGACUUCGCUCUCGCUGCCUAAGCACGAGACCGAGUCCGUCAAGUUCGGGUUCGUCCCCGCCCCGAUACUUGGCGUCAUUUAGGGGACUCGCUGGUGCGUCGCGUCUCGGGGCGCACCGGGACUCUCACCGAGGCUGGGCCUGUCGCUCGAGGUGUCCGUGACACAGAGCGGGGCCGAGUAGAACGCUUGCACGGACUACGCCCGUAGAAGGCACGGAAUCAUCGAAGUGGACCGGGGUUCGAUUCCCCGCGGCUCCACGA
RNAcentral lists this transfer-messenger RNA (372 nucleotides) under Leucobacter chromiisoli. RNAcentral describes it as "Standard tmRNA". It matches the Rfam family "transfer-messenger RNA". Rfam says of the family: Bacterial tmRNA, also known as 10Sa RNA or SsrA, is named for its dual tRNA and mRNA-like properties. Its role is to liberate the mRNA from a stalled ribosome. To accomplish this part of the tmRNA is used as a reading frame that ends in a translation stop signal. Lineage: Bacteria; Bacillati; Actinomycetota; Actinomycetes; Micrococcales; Microbacteriaceae. The record is from Rfam by way of RNAcentral.